AGUCUAUCACAGUGUAAGUCGCUCUUGAUAAGAGUGUCUGCUAAAUGACGUAAA
Molecule: non-coding RNA, 54 nt
Organism: Salmo salar (Atlantic salmon)
Lineage: Eukaryota; Metazoa; Chordata; Actinopteri; Salmoniformes; Salmonidae
Source: Rfam